GGUCAAAAAGGGGAGGAAGAAAAAAAAAAGAUUUUCUGAAUUACAGGGAAAAAAAUUAAUAAUAAUCAUAAUAAAAGAUCUUAUGAUUUAUCAGACAACAGUGGUGAUGUCAUUGUAUCUGGGUCUUGUUCUAUCUGGUGAAAGCCCUUCUUCCAUUGCCUUUCUCUUGUUAUUGUUGGGUGGUUGUUGUUGUUGUGGUGGUGUUGGUGAAAGUGGGGAUUGUGGUUGUUGCUGCUGCAGCUGUGACUGAAUCUCUGAUUUUUCUACUAAUUGGAUUUCAUUACUUUCUUGGUUUUGGGUCUUUACUUUUGUUUUCAUCAUAUGAGGCUUAAGUCUAUUCAAAUCUGAUAAUUGCACUGGCUUCAAGAAAAACUCCUCUGCUCCUUCCUGUAAACAUCUUGUGAUCCUUGAAGGAACAUUCUCAGAUGACAUUAU
RNAcentral lists this unclassified non-coding RNA (435 nucleotides) under Hevea brasiliensis (rubber tree). Lineage: Eukaryota; Viridiplantae; Streptophyta; Magnoliopsida; Malpighiales; Euphorbiaceae. The record is from RNAcentral.